Long non-coding RNA from Chinchilla lanigera (long-tailed chinchilla), 913 nucleotides. RefSeq lists it as uncharacterized. NCBI's taxonomy places the organism in Eukaryota, Metazoa, Chordata, Mammalia, Rodentia, Chinchillidae. The record is from RefSeq and is a predicted model, not a curated record. The transcript is spliced from 2 exons.
AGAAGACACAGAGCUCAGCAGGCGGAAGCAGCUGCCUGGGGCUGUGCACUGCCUGCCUCUCAGCACAGGGAGUGCAGAGGACCUGCAGCAGGGGCUGGCAAGGCUAAGCCACCACCCAAAGGGGACUCAGCCAGAGGCCUGAGACCCUGGGAACCAAUACUGUUCCUCAAGCAGCAGCCGGCUGCCAUGGUGUGCAUCUGUAAUCCAGCACUCGGGAGGCUGAGGCAGGAGGAUCGCUGUGAAUUUGAGAGCAGCCUGGACUACAAACACCCGACCCCUGAGACCCUGGAGACUGCAGCCAUUUCCUUGGAGAGGAGGAGCACCAGCGCCCCUGGAAAAGGGGAGAAAACAGGGAACACGGCCCAGGAACCCCGAGGAGGACCCUUCGCAGCCACCUGGAUGCGGGCGUCUGGUCUCCUGCAGGUCAUCUCAGUCUGGGGGCCCAGGACGGACGCAGACGCUCAGGGUACUGAGCCUGAGUCCCAGGGGACCCUAAAGAGCUGAGGGUGACUCAUGCUAGGCAGGGUCAGCAGUCUGGACAGACUCAGACACCCCAACAGCCCUCCACACCCCACUCUGUGGGUCACCUCUAAGACGCCCUGCGCCCGUGCUGUCUGACACCCCCUCUCUUGUGCUGGCCGGGGGAGCCCCCAGCCCGGCACCCAGCCCAGCCCUCCUCCUGCUCUGAGAGAGGCUCCCGCCCCGCUGAACUCCCCCACCCGGAGCUGACCCCUGCCCCAUACCCACAGGACCGCAGGGCAUGGCGGAGGGUUUGGUCCCUGCUUUGCCCGGCCCUGCACGGGUCACAGAACACGUCCAGGGUCCUGCAUGCCCCGCACAGCACAGACCCAGCCAGAGAGCCAGACUGCACCCACCCUGGAUGCAGAAAUAAAACGAAAUGGGUAGCACUCCC